GACGAACGCUGGCGGCGUGCUUAACACAUGCAAGUCGAACGGUGAAGGGACCAGCUUGCUGGUUCUGGAUGAGUGGCGAACGGGUGAGUAACACGUGAGUAACCUGCCCCCUUCUUCUGGAUAACCGCAUGAAAGUGUGGCUAAUACGGGAUAUUCUGGGUCUGUCGCAUGGCGGGCCCGGGAAAGAUAUUGCUUCGGUGGGGGAUGGGCUCGCGGCCUAUCAGCUUGUUGGUGGGGUGAUGGCCUACCAAGGCGGUGACGGGUAGCCGGCCUGAGAGGGUGGACGGUCACACUGGGACUGAGACACGGCCCAGACUCCUACGCGAGGCAGCAGUGGGGAAUAUUGCACAAUGGGCGCGAGCCUGAUGCAGCGACGCCGCGUGAGGGAUGGAGGCCUUCGGGGUGUAAACCUCUUUCGCCAGUGAAGCAGGCCUGCUCCUUGUGGGUGGGUUGACGGUAGCUGGAUAAGAAGCGCCGGCUAACUACGUG
Molecule: ribosomal RNA, 489 nt
Filed under: uncultured bacterium
Lineage: Bacteria
Description: partial 16S ribosomal RNA
Rfam family: Bacterial small subunit ribosomal RNA
Source: RNAcentral